This 445-nucleotide ribosomal RNA is filed under the name uncultured crenarchaeote. Its description in RNAcentral is "partial 16S ribosomal RNA". It matches the Rfam family "Archaeal small subunit ribosomal RNA", at positions 330 to 747 of the family's 1478-position model. The record is from RNAcentral. Lineage: Archaea; Thermoproteati; Thermoproteota.
GUGCAGCAGUCGCGCAACCUCUGCAAUACGCGAAAGCGUGACAGGGCUACCCCGAGUGCCGUCCGCUGAGGAUGGCUUUUCUCCGGUGUAGUAAGCCGGAGGAAUAAGGAGAGGGCAAGUCUGGUGUCAGCCGCCGCGGUAAUACCAGCUCUCCGAGUGGUAGGGACGAUUAUUGGGCCUAAAGCGUCCGUAGCCGGCCAAGCAAGUUUCCCGUUAAAUCCAGCGAUCCAAUCGUUGGACUGCGGGAAAUACUGUUUGGCUAGGGGGCGAGAGAGGCCAACGGUAUUCCCGGGGUAGGGGUGAAAUCCCAUAAUCCCGGGAGGACCACCAGUGGCGAAGGCUGUUGGCUAGAACACGCCCGACGGUGAGGGAUGAAAGCUGGGGGAGCGAACCGGAGUAGAUUUGGAAAGGAGAAAGAUCCUUCCACUGAAGACCCGGGUAGUCC